RNAcentral lists this ribosomal RNA (497 nucleotides) under uncultured bacterium. Its description in RNAcentral is "partial 16S ribosomal RNA". It matches the Rfam family "Bacterial small subunit ribosomal RNA", at positions 28 to 507 of the family's 1533-position model. The record is from RNAcentral.
GAUGAACGCUGGCGGCGUGCCUAAUACAUGCAAGUCGAACGAACAGACCAGGUGUUUGCUCCUCUGACGUUAGCGGCGGACGGGUGAGUAACACGUGGACAACCUACCUAUAAGACUGGGAUAACUUCGAGAAAUCGGAGCUAAUACCGGAUAAUAUAUUGAACUGCAUGGUUCAAUAGUUAAAGACGGUUUUGCUUUCACUUAUAGAUGGAUCCGCCCCGCAUUAGCUAGUUGGUGAGGGAGCGGCUUACCAAGGCAACGAUGCGUAGCCGACCUGAGAGGGAGAUCGGCGACACGGGAACUGAGACAGGGUACCGACACCGACGCGGGGCAGCAGUAGGGAAUCUUACGCAAAGGGCGAGAGCGUGACGGUGCAACGCCGCGUGAGUGAUGAAGAUCUCCGGAUGGGAGAGCUCUGUUAUUAGGGACGAAGAAAUGUGUAAGUAACUGUGCGCGUCUUGACGGUACCUGAACAAAAAGCCACGGCUAACUACGUG